RNAcentral lists this unclassified non-coding RNA (337 nucleotides) under plant metagenome. RNAcentral describes it as "partial contains 5.8S ribosomal RNA, internal transcribed spacer 2, and large subunit ribosomal RNA". The stretch from base 1 to 105 matches the Rfam family "5.8S ribosomal RNA", at positions 50 to 154 of the family's 154-position model. The record is from RNAcentral.
GAAAUGCGAUAAGUAGUGUGAAUUGCAGAAUUCAGUGAAUCAUCGAAUCUUUGAACGCACAUUGCGCCCCUCGGUAUUCCGUGGGGCAUGCCUGUUCGAGCGUCAUUUACACCCUCAAGCUUUGCUUGGUGUUGGGCGUCUGUCUCCCCCCCCGUUUUUCCCGGGGGAGGGACUCGCCCCAAAGGUAUUGGCAGCGGUCCUGUCAGGCCUUCCUAAUCGCGCAGCACUGUUCGCGCCUCUUGGAGCCUGUACGGAUUCUCAGCUCAUCCAUGAAGCGUCCAAAUUUUGUUUUCAAACUUGACCUCGAAUCAGGUAGGGAUACCCGCUGAACUUAAGC